RNAcentral lists this long non-coding RNA (2233 nucleotides) under Monodelphis domestica (gray short-tailed opossum). RNAcentral describes it as "lncRNA (ENSMODG00000031165.2)". The record is from RNAcentral. Lineage: Eukaryota; Metazoa; Chordata; Mammalia; Didelphimorphia; Didelphidae.
CAGCCACAGUUUAUGGCAGACAACCAUUUUAAAUCUUACAAUAUCAACAUAUUUUAUCUUUUAAUAACCACAAAUAUAUAUCUUUUAAUACCACAAAUAUACACAAUUUAUCUUUAAAAGUUAAAGUAAGAAAGCUAAAGUUGAACCCCCCCCCCCAACAUAAAAGCCAACAGAUGACAUACAAAGGCUAGAAAUAUAGAGAUAUCUCAAAAAGUUUAGUAACUCAUAAAUCAUAUAAGGUACUGUAAAUGCCCCUAUAAAAUGAAGAGGAAAAAAGUCAGACUUCUUCUCUGGUUCCAAGGGAGGACCAAAAAAAUUAUAUAGGAUUUUCCAGGUGAGGGGUGGGGAGCCAAGACAUAGAAAGCAAAGAGGCUUAGGCUUCAAAUGAAGGGGGAAAAGGACAACUAAAAACCAAGGAAAGCCCUGCAGUCAUGACAGGAAAAGAAUUAGCAAUUUCCCACACUAACCCAGAGUCUCUGAGAAUUCAUUCUAACAGGUAGGUUAAUGCAAAAGGCAGCCAGAAGGAGUGGAAUUGCAGGGCUUUGAAAAAGAAACAACAUACUUUGGGAGUGGGGAUAAAUCUAACCUUUGUACGAAUAAAAAUAAAAUAAAAAAUUAUUGGAAAAAACAUUCUACACCUUUCUUGUUUGCGUAUGCGAUAGAUAUUGCCUAUAACAUCUUCCUGGGGUGUUUUUCAAUUUUACUAAUCUCUUCUGGUUCUGCGACAGUUCACCCCAAUAUAGCUAGUGAAGUCACGACUGCAGGAGUCAUAUGCAGGCGCCUCCACUGCAGCCCCAGCUCCUCAGGGGACCUCCAGGGGGCGCCGCUCCGAGAGCACGUUCUCACCUCUGUCAGGGCUCUUCUUGCUGAGUCUUUCCUCUGGCGCUCUCAGGUCCUUCCGUCUCGUCUGAGAACGGGACUCUCCUGGGCAGAGGGCCCAGGCCUGACAAGGGGUCCAGGGGAGCUGAUGUCAGCCCCGGGGCCUUCGAGGCCCCCUUCCUCCAGAUUCACCCUCUUACCGGAAGGAUGGAAGGUGCGAGAGGCUGCGGGGAUCAUCAAAGGAGAAGAAUCUGUAGGCCAUUAUGGUGCAGUUUGGAGACUAUUAUUGAAAAACAAAAGGAAAAUAAGGCUUUUUCUUUUUACUGUUCUUAUGUCUCUUCACUAUCCAAGAUAGCCCUUCAGAAGCAUCUGCUACAUAGAGGAAACUAUGAAAGGAAUGAUAAUUCCUUGGAAGACUGAUGCCAGAUUGUAGUCAAUCCAGAAGAGGACUCAAAUUUUUGAUAUAAAACUAGGGUUCAUAGGAGAAAAUUCUCUUCCCCAAAAAGUGUAUCCAUCAUUGAUCAGCUGUUGAGAUCAUUCUGAAAGAAUGCUUUGAAGGAACAGAAAUUACAGAUACUCAGUCCUUUGAGGGAAAUGAACUAGCGUGCAUCUUUCAUUUACAGGAUGAUUACAAUAGACAAUUACUAUUAUUUGGUCUUCUGCAGUAUUUUUUUUCACUUUAGAGAUCCUCAGAGAACAUGCUCAACAUGGAGUUUUAACUUCUACUUUAAAAAGAAAAGAAAAGAAAAACAAACUAACAAGUGAAAGAAGUAAUACCUAGCAAAAUUGAGGCCAAAAUGAAGAAAGUGAGACUCUAAGCCAGCAAGAUAAGAUCAUCCUGAGAAUUUAGGAAGCCUGGGUUAAAAAAAAACCAAGAGGGUAAGCAUUAAGGAGUAGACCAAAGUAAAGAAACAUCCUAGAGAUUUCACACUAGAAGAUACUCCACAGUUCUUUAGGCUAGAAAGAGUCAGUUGGAAACAGCCUUAGGAAAGAGAAAUAUACUUUAUCUAUCACAGUGUCACCAAUUUAGUCAUAUUGUAAGUAACAUUAUAGACCAGGGCUGCUUGGGUCCCCAUAGCUCACAUGAAUGUAAAAUAGUUGUUGAUCAAUUAUGUGCAAAUUAAUGUGCUAAGUUCAAGGGACACCAAGAGAAAACUGAGAUAGUCCCUGCUCUCAAAAAUUCACAUUCUUGUAUAAGGAAGCAUAUUGGAGGGUUCCUCCUUUGAUAUCAUUUGCUUGUUCUUGUUUGAUUAGACCAAAACAUAGAGACAAGCAAGCAUAUGGUGGAACCAACCAAUAAGAGAGGAUGGGAAGUCAAAGGGAAUUUCUGUUCCAGAAAAUGUGUUUAUCAUGAGGCCCUUCUAUGAUCACAUUAGCUAAUAAAAUGAAUUCUAAUACUUACUAAUAUAUAAAA